Molecule: long non-coding RNA, 162 nt
Organism: Dermochelys coriacea (leatherback sea turtle)
Lineage: Eukaryota; Metazoa; Chordata; Testudines; Dermochelyidae
Exons: 3
Source: RefSeq, a predicted model, not a curated record
CAUGAUGUGAUGUUAUUGACAUGAACGGGGACCAUAUAGAUCAUUGUUGCAACCGAAGUCCUGUAGCGGCACCAAAUCUUGUAUAAAGGGAGUCAAAUAAAGUGUCUAAGACAAGAUUAUGGUUUGCUGGUUAGGAUUAUGCUAUCUGAUUUGCAUGUAUCA